AUUUAAAAUAUGACUCCAACUAAGCCUAAAACUUUUCCAGCCAAUAGCUUACCUUUGAGGCGGUCUUAAUUGACUAGGAUAGUAUUAAAUAAUGGAGAAAACAACUUGAAAGAAGGCUGAACUCAUAGAGACCUAAUCCAGCCAACCAAAACACUUUAAAAAUAACUAAAA
Telopea speciosissima is the source of this 171-nucleotide long non-coding RNA. RefSeq lists it as uncharacterized. The record is from RefSeq and is a predicted model, not a curated record. Lineage: Eukaryota; Viridiplantae; Streptophyta; Magnoliopsida; Proteales; Proteaceae. The transcript is spliced from 2 exons.